Molecule: ribosomal RNA, 440 nt
Filed under: uncultured bacterium
Lineage: Bacteria
Description: partial 16S ribosomal RNA
Rfam family: Bacterial small subunit ribosomal RNA
Source: RNAcentral
CCUACGGGUGGCAGCAGUGGGGAAUAUUGCACAAUGGGGGAAACCCUGAUGCAGCGACGCCGCGUGAGUGAAGAAGUAAUUCGUUAUGUAAAGCUCUAUCAGCAGGGAAGAAAAUGACGGUAGCUGAUUAUGAAGCCCCGGCUAACUACGGGCCAGCAGCCGCCGUAAUACGAAGGGGGCAAGCGUUAUCUGGAUCUACGGGGUGGAGAGUGAGCGUAGACGGCAGUGCAAGUCUGGAGUGAAAGGCGGGGGCUCAACCACCGGACUGCUCUGGAAACUGUACGGCUGGAGUGCAGGAGAGGUGAGUGGAAUUCCAAGUGUAGCGGUGAAAUGCGUAGAUAUUAGGAGGAACACCAGUGGCGAAGGCGACUUACUGGACUGUAACUGACGUUGAGGCUCGAAAGCGUGGGGAGCAAACAGGAUUAGAUACCCGAGUAGUC